RNAcentral lists this unclassified non-coding RNA (274 nucleotides) under Basidiomycota sp. Its description in RNAcentral is "partial contains small subunit ribosomal RNA, internal transcribed spacer 1, and 5.8S ribosomal RNA". The stretch from base 1 to 47 matches the Rfam family "Eukaryotic small subunit ribosomal RNA", at positions 1785 to 1831 of the family's 1831-position model. Lineage: Eukaryota; Fungi; Basidiomycota. The record is from RNAcentral.
AAAGUCGUAACAAGGUUUCCGUAGGUGAACCUGCGGAAGGAUCAUUACAAAAGUAAAUGGGUUAGGACUUGCCUCUCGGGGUUGAGUCCUCUCCUAUUCAACUUUCAACCACUUGUGAAUUUGUAACUUAUUUUCUUGUAGCUAAGGUUUCGGCCUUGUUGCAGAAAAUAUUUAUCUUACCAAUUGUCUGUUAAAGAAGUCUGAUUCUAACUAUUGGUGUUUAAAGACACUUGUAAUUAAAAAACAACUUUUGGCAACGGAUCUCUUGGCUCUC